Molecule: ribosomal RNA, 554 nt
Filed under: uncultured bacterium
Lineage: Bacteria
Description: bacterial SSU rRNA
Rfam family: Bacterial small subunit ribosomal RNA
Source: RNAcentral
GCGCGUAGGCGGUCUGUUAAGUGUAGAGUGAAAUCUCUGGGCUCACCCCAGAAACUGCUCUGCAUACUGGCAGACUUGAGGGAUGCAGAGGUUUGUGGAAUUCCUGGUGUAGCGGUGAAAUGCGUUGAUAUCAGGAGGAACACCCAUGGCGAAGGCAGCAAACUGGGCAUCAUCUGACGCUGAGGCGCGAAAGCGUGGGUAGCAAACAGGAUUAGAUACCCUGGUAGUCCACGCCCUAAACGAUGGAUACUAGGCGUAGGAGGUAUCGACCCCUCCUGUGCCGCAGCUAACGCACUAAGUAUCCCGCCUGGGGAGUACGGCCGCAAGGUUGAAACUCAAAUGAAUUGACGGGUACCCGCACAAGCGGUGGAGCAUGUGGAUUAAUUCGAUACUAACCGAAGAACCUUACCCAGACUUGACAUCGAUCGCAAGCCUUAGAAAUAGGGCCCUCCCUCACAAGGGGACGUGAAGACACUUGUUGCAUGGCUGUCGUCAGCUCGUGCCGUGAGGUGUACGGUUAAGUCCGCCAACGAGCGCAACCCACGUCCUGUGUU